This is a long non-coding RNA of Salvelinus sp. IW2-2015, 468 nucleotides long. RefSeq lists it as uncharacterized. The record is from RefSeq and is a predicted model, not a curated record. Lineage: Eukaryota; Metazoa; Chordata; Actinopteri; Salmoniformes; Salmonidae.
GAUAAAUGGACACUCACAUACAGAUUCACCCAGAAGAGAGCAAGAUGACAUUCACUAUGCAGAGAUAACUCACAUUAAACCAACAGAAAACCAGGAGGAGCGAAGAGGUAUACCAGAGCUGGAUCUGCUUAGAGACAACCCUAACCUGACAUUAGUUUAUUAUACACUCCAGUUACAUCACAUGGCUGUCAGCGAGGAUGUUAACACAGCAUGAAGGAGAAAGAGAACAGCAAGUUACUGAGAGGGUGACAUGAUCAUUCACAUCCAAGAGAAGGCAUUACAUCUUACAGUGGACUUUGAGACAAAAUUAUAGUAAAUAUUAGUUCGUUAUACUGCUGUUAUAAUACUGCUGGUCAGAAGCUUCUUUUCAGUUCUGUCUGUUCUGUUGUUUAAAUGUAGGUGCCUCUCCUGUAUCUUUUAUAGUAUACAAAUUUCCGCUAUUGAAACUGAAUGUUAGUCUAAAAUAAA